This 6471-nucleotide long non-coding RNA is filed under the name Canis lupus familiaris (dog). RNAcentral's name for it is "lncRNA (ENSCAFG00000051281.1)". The record is from RNAcentral. Lineage: Eukaryota; Metazoa; Chordata; Mammalia; Carnivora; Canidae.
AGUUAUAAUUAGAGAAUUAAAAAUCCACCAACCAAACAUAAAACUAAAAAUAAUCCAACUAUAUCCUUUAUAAAAGCUACAUUUCAACUGAGAUAACUCAGAAAAACUUGAAGGAAACUGGUAAAUGCCAACAAAGAGAACAUAGAAAUUUUAUUAUUAUUGCAAGACAAAGGAUUAAAAUGGGACAGAAGUAAUCAUGAAGAUGAAAGGUAUAAGCCACAGUAAAAUUUUUAUGGGGUAGGUUAUAUCAUAGUAAACAUUACUGGAAAACACAAGGAAAAGCAGAGUAAUGAGACACACUACUAUGUUUCUUUUGGACAGAUUAGAGUAUUCGUAACCUCUAUCAUUCUUAUCUAACUUAAUCAUUAAAGUUGCUCUAAGAGAUACACAUUGAGAGCUUUACCUGUAAAUAGAAAUGAUGUCUUCUUUGGGCCCCAGGGAAAUUUUUUUUCUAGAUCAUAAAUCUAAACUUCCAGCAAACUGAGAAUAGUCCAAAAACAUUGUUUAACCACAAUGAAAUUUCAAAAAUGUACAUGAAAUUUAAAAACCCAGAUUCUUGUGUGCCCCCAUCUCCUAAAUAACUUGAUUGGAUCAAAAAGGAAGGCAAAACUAACAAAAUGUCCAGAAGAAAUCCCUAGAAAAAAUUAUGGAAAAUGCAUAUUAACAUGGAGAUGUGGGAUGCCUGGGUGGCUCAGUAGUUGAGCAUCUGCCUUUGGCUCAGGGUGUGAUCCUGGGUCCAGGGAUCCAGUCCCACAUCAGGCUCCCUGCAAGGAGCUUGCUUCUCUCUCUGCCUAUGUCUCUGCCUCUCUCUUUUUCUCGCUCUCUCAUGAAUAAAUAAAUCUUUAAACAAAACAAAAACAUGGAGAUGUGAUGAAAGCAGAACACAGAGGGAAAGUAAUACAUUUAAGUUUCUUAGCAAAAGUGAAGAAAAAUCAAGCAUUUCAGCUCCAGAUGUUAAAAAAAUAUGUAAAGUUAUUAAACAUAAAAAUACUAGAAAACAAUAAUAGUACAAUUGAUAAAUUUAAGUGUUAUUUCUAGUUAUAACAGAUACUUUAGCCUAAUUGAGACAAAAAACAAAACAUGAAAAAUUAGGAGUGGAAAGGCUAAUUAGGAAAAAAUGUAUUUUAUGUGACCCUUCCUGUGGGGUAAGGGGGUGUCAGCCAUAUAUAACUUUUGACUCUCCAAAAACUUAGUAGCCUGUGGUUUACCAGAAGCCUUAUUGAUAACACAUUUUGUAUGUUAUAUUAUAUUCUUACAAUAAGCUAGAGAAAAGGAAUGUUAAAAUCAUAAAAGACAUAUACUACAUGCUAAUAGAAAAGAUUCCUCAUAUAAAUGGGUCUGCCCAUUUAAAACGUGUUCAAGAGUCAACAUAUAUUCAUAAAUUUGAAACUCAAAUGGAUACUUUUCUAGGAAAAUAUAAGUUACUCAGAUUAACUUGAGUGGAGAAAACUCAUAAAGAUUGGCAGUAUUAAUAACGCAAAGUGAGGAUUAAAGAGCUAGCAAUUCCUCUCAGCACACAUACCCUCAGUUUUGUUGCUAAAUUCUGCCAAACAGAUCAUAACUAUGGUACUUAUUCUUCCUGAGUAUAGAGAGAUGAGAAACUUUUUCUUAACUUUUUACCACCCUGUUGGUUGUGUUUCAGGCAUCCAUUUUUCCUUGCCUUCUUCCUAAAAAGAUUCCUGAUUUUGUCAGGAAUGCAUUCCCUCCUUAGCUCUAGUGAGUGGUCAGAGCUAAUUAGUCUAAGAGCCAAUUAAUGGGAAGGAAAUUGUUCCAGUACCAUUUGUUGAAAAAACUACUCAGUGGAGAAGAAAUGGGCUUUUUAACAAGUGAGACAGUUGGAUACCCACAUGCAAAAAGAUGAGUCUGGGGCUCUGCUUCACACACAUACACUAAGAUCAACUCAAAAUGUGUCACAGACCUAAAUAUAAGAGCUCAAAAGAUAAAACUCUUAGAAGACAUAGGGCCAGGCAAAUACUUCCUUAGAUGUCACAUGAAAACCUCAAGAGAUGAAGGAAGAAUUUGACGAAUUGAACUUUAUUGAAAUGGAAACUUCUUUGCUUUGGAACACACCCAGUUGCCUCUACACCAUUAGGAAGAGAGCCAAUCCGAUGACAAAUGUACUACCUUGAGAUGACAGAGCAGGGGGCAAGAACCCGAGUUUCUGAAAUCAUUGGGUCUCCGAACUAAAGAGCCUUAAAACUAGCUCCACCUCCAUAGUGAUAAUUAUGUGAGAUGGUCAGUUUCCUUUUUUUUGAAAGUUAGAGUUGGCAUUUCUGUUUUGUGCAGUUGAAUGGAUCUUAAGGGAUACGUAGUGAAAUAAAAAGGUAGCCCUAGAAGAUAGCACAUGAUGUAUGAUAAUACACAUUGUAGGCUGUAUUGGCAGAAUUGCAGAUUAUAAAGAUGACAGAUUUUAUUUCAAAAUAUAGAAUUCUGACAGUCUAGAAAUUUCCUUUUUUAUUUUCCCAACUGCAGGAUUUUGAUAAUGAAACUUAAACUUUAGAAAUUAGAAUCCAGCAGUUAAUUUAAAAAUAUCAAGUGGAAUUUUGUUUAGUAAUAAGAACAGUAUCAUUGAAAUUAUAAACAAAUCAAUGGCAGAAAACUAUGGUUUUCUAUGGUCUAUAAUCUAAAUAGGUGUUAGAAAGUUAUUUGAUAGAAUUUAAUACCUAUUAUUUUAAAAGGAAAACAAGGAUAGAAGAAUUUAAGGGUAUGUUCCAUCUUAAUGUAGUCGAAGAUGUGUCUCAAAUUAACAGUCUACACUACUAAAAAAAAAAAAAAAACAGUCUACACUACUUAUUACAGCAUAACUCUAGAAACGUUUAUUUAAAUAUCCCAAAUAAGGUUAUUGGAGCCACUGAGAAAAUUUUUUGGAAGUGCAACACAAUGUUAAUUUGAUACUGAAAAAUAAACAGCGAAGGACAGAAAGGAAGUAAAAUUAUUGCAAUUCAAAGAUAUUAUAUGGUUAGAAAAACAAAAAAGGUCAACUGAUGAACUAUUAGAAGCAAUUUGCUAGGGUGCUUGUUUACAAAUGAAGUGUAUGAAAGUGUUCAUUGCUUUGAAAACGUCAGGUUCUUCCCCACCCCAGGCCCAUUGCAUAUGGUAUUCCCUUUGCUCAUUACUCAUUACCACACACACCUGGUCAACUCAUUCAGCCUUCAGAUCUCAAGUGACACUGCAGAGAGCUUUGACGUUUCAAAAUUGGGUCCCUUGUGCUCACCAGUUCAGGUUCUGCUUUUCUUUCAUAUAGAACUUACCUAUAAUUUUACAUUAUGUGGUUUUUUGUUACAGCUUGUCACUCCCUUCAGAGAAUGGAGACUGUGUCUGUUUAGGUCACCAUUUUAUAUCUAGCACCUACUAGAUGCUAUCUGCCACAUAGUAGACAUUAAAUAUAUAUUUAUUGGUGAAUGAAUAAAUGCAUAAUAAUUUAAAACAAGUUUUAGGAGUAGCAUACAUGUGACAUUUUAUGAUGCUGUAUAGGCAGUUUCCUAACACAGCUCCUAUCAGCAACCCGCAGCACUGUUGUAGAGAUCAGUCUGGUCUCUCAUUCUAAUAAAGUAAAUAUGAAAUUCAUUUGCAAGUAUACAGGCAUACCUUGGAGAUGUUGCAGGUUCAGUUCUAGACCACCACAGUAAAGCAAAUACUGUAAUAAAGCAAGUCAAAUAGAGUCUUUGGUUUCCUAGUACAUACAAAUGUUAUGUUUACCCUAUACUAUAGUUCAUUAAGUGUACAAUAGCAUUAUGUUUAAAAAAAUGUACAUACUUUAAAAAUAUUGCUAAAAAUGCUAACCAUCAUCUGAGCUUUCAGGGAGUCAUAGUCUGUUUGCUGGUGGAGGGUCUUGCCUCCAUGUUUAUGGCUGCUGACUGAUCAUGGUGGUGGUGCUGAAGGCUGUUGUGGCUGUGGCAAGUUCUUAAAAUAAGAGCAGUGGUGUUUGCUGCACUGAUAGGCUCUUUCUUUCACGAAGGAUUGCUCUGUAGCGUUUGAUGCUGUUUGUUAACAUUUCAUCCACAGGAGAACUUCUUUCAGACGGGGCAUCCUCUCAAACCUUGCUUCUGCUUUAUCCGCUCAGUUUAUGUGAUUUGUCACAGCAUCUUCAAGUGUGGAUUCCAUCUCAAGAAGCCACUUUAUUUGCUAAUCCAUAAGAUGGAGAUCCUUGUCCAUUAAUGUGUGAGAUGGUAGCAGUUCAGUUCCACCUUCACGCUCCACUUCUGAUUCUAGUUCUCUUGCCAUUUCCAUCACAUCUGCAGAGACUUCCUCCACAGGGUCUUGAACGUGUUGAAGUCAUCCAUGAGGGUUGGAAUCAACUUCUGUCAAAGUCCAGUCACUACUGAUAUUUUGACCUCUUCCUAUGAAUCAUGGAUGUUCUUAGUGGUAUCUAGAAUGAUGAAUCUUUUCUAGAAAGUUUUCAAUGGACUUUUCCCAGAACCAUCAGAGGACUUCACUGUCUGUGGCAGCAAUAGCCUCGUGAAAUGCAGUUGUUAAGUAGUAAGACUUGAAGGUUGAAAUGACUCCUUGAUCCAUGGGCUGCAGAAUGGGUAUUGUGUCAGGCAUGAAAACAUUUCUCUUACUGCCCAUCUCCAUCAGAGCUCUUGUUUGACCAGGCGCAGUGUCAGUGAGUAGUAAUAUCUUGAAAGGAAGCUUUUUUUUUUUUUUAAAUUUUUUAUUUAUUUAUGAUAGCCACAGAGAGAGAGAGAGAGAGAGAGAGGCAGAGACACAGGCAGAGGGAGAAGCAGGCUCCAUGCACUGGGAGCCCGAUGUGGGAUUCGAUCCCGGGUCUCCAGGAUCGCGCCCUGGGCCAAAGGCAGGCGCCAAACCACUGCGCCACCCAGGGAUCCCGAAAGGAAGCUUUUUUUCUGGGCAGUAGGUCUCAAUGGUGGGCUUAAAAUGUUCAGUAAACCAUAUUGCGAGUAGAUACAUUGUCGUCCAGGCUUUGUUGUUGGAUUUACAGGACAGGGAGAGUAGAUUUAGCAUAAUGCUUAAGGGCCCUAAGAUUUUCAGAAUGCUAAAUGAGCAUUGGUUUCAACUUCAAUACAGUUACCAGCUGUAUUAGUCCCUGACAAGAAAGUCAGCUUGUCCUUUGGAGCUUUGAAGCCAGGUGUUGACUUCUCUCUAGGUACGAAAAUCCUGAAAGUCGUGGAUGGCAUCUUCUAAUAUUGGACUGUUUAAUCUACACUGAAAUCUGUUGUUGAGUGCAGCCACCUUCAGUAAUGAUUUCACCUAGAUCUUCUGGAUAAUUAAUUGCCUACUAUUUCUAUAUCAGCAUUUACUACAUCAUUUUGUAUUUUUAUAUUAUGGAGAAGGUUUCUUCCCUUAAACUUCAUGAAUCAGCCUCUGCUAACUUCAGACUUUUACUCUGCAACUUCCUCACCUUUCUUAGCCUUCAUUGAAUUGAGGAGAGUUAGGGCUUGGCUCUGGAGUAGGCUUUGGCUUAAGGGAAUGUUGUGGCUAGUUUGGUCUGUAUAUCACCAAUAAGGCUGUUUCACUUUUUUUUUUUUUAGGAUUUUAUUUAUUUAUGAGAAACAGAAAGAGAGAGAGGUGGGGGGCAGAGACAGGCACAGGAAGAAGCAGGCUCCAUGCAGGGAGACUGAUGUGGGACCUGAUCCCCGGACUUUUGGGAUCAUGCCUGGGCCGAAGGCUGGUGCUAAACCGCUGAACCACCCAGGUAUCCCCUUACUUUCUUAUAAUUCAUGUAUUCACUGGACUAGCACUUUUAAUUCCUUGAAGAAGUUUUCCUUUGUAUAUUCUACUUGAAUGUGGUAUGCAAGAGGCCUGGCUUUUGGCCUGUCUCACUGUGACAUGCCUUCAUCACUGAGCUUAAUCAUUUGUAGCUUUUUUUUUUUUUUUAAAGAUUUUUUUUUUUUUUCUUAAAUUCAAGAGAGACUCAGAGGAGAAGGGGGGAGAGAGAGAGAGAGAGAGAGAGAGAGAGAGAGAGAGGCAGAGACACAGGCAGAAGGAGAAGCAGGCUCCAUGCAGGGAGCCUGGUGUGGGACUCGAUCCCAGGACCCCAGGAUCAUGCCCUAAGCCAAAGGCAGACACUCAACCGCUGAGUCACCCAGGCAUCCCUCAUUUGUAGCUUUCAACUUAAAGUGAGAUAUGUGACUCGAACACUUAAAGGAUCUUGUAGAGUUAUUAACUGUCCUAAUUUCAGUAUUGUAUCUGAGGGAAUAAGGAGGCCCUGAGAGAGAGGGAGAUAUGGGGGAAUGCCUGGUCACUGGAGCAAUCAGAACACAACGUUUAUUAAGUUCAGUGUCUUACAUUGAUGUGAUUUGUGAUGCCCUCCCACAUUACAAUAUUAACAUCAAAGAUCACUGACCACAGAUCACCAUAGCAAAUAUAAUAAUAGUGAAAAAAGUUUGAAAUAUGGUGAUAAUUACCCAGAUGUGGCUCAAAGACACAAAGUGAGCAAAUGCUGUUGAAAAAAUGGUGCUUAAUGCAGGGUUGGCAUCAACCUUCAAAUUGUUAAAAAGAAAAAAAAAA